GCCUGGUUGGCUCAGUAGGUUAAGCGUCUGACUUUAGCUCAUGUCAUGAUCUCAUGGUUCAUGGGUUCGAGUCCUGCAUCGGGCU
RNAcentral lists this transfer RNA (85 nucleotides) under Felis catus (domestic cat). It matches the Rfam family "tRNA". From Rfam's summary of the family: Transfer RNA (tRNA) molecules are approximately 80 nucleotides in length. Their secondary structure includes four short double-helical elements and three loops (D, anti-codon, and T loops). Lineage: Eukaryota; Metazoa; Chordata; Mammalia; Carnivora; Felidae. The record is from Rfam by way of RNAcentral. RNAcentral also lists the same sequence under 2 other names.